UAUGGACCGAGCUCAAAGAAGUUGCCUAUCAUGGAGGAGCAGCCAGGGCCACCCUGAAGCCAGAUAAGAAGUGGGGUUUGGGAGAGAGGUAAGAGACUGGAUCUUGGGCUUCAUAGAAGGUGUAGAAAAUGGCCGAAUCGGUAUUCGGAUUGACGGGUAAAUAGCCGGAUUUGGUUGGGAGAGCUUCAUCGGGAAAAGUAAAGCUUGAAUUGGCGGUGUUGAAUAGUGAUGAGGCCAAAGAUUGCCGGAUGAGGAGGAUAAGUAGCUGCAAGAAGCAGAUCAAAGUCGCGGUUGACUUCAUUCUUCUGAAGAUAGUGAAGACUGCAGUAGUUGGCUUUAGGUUUUGGAUUGUGAUAUGGAAAUUUGCUGAAGCA
RNAcentral lists this unclassified non-coding RNA (374 nucleotides) under Hevea brasiliensis (rubber tree). The record is from RNAcentral. Lineage: Eukaryota; Viridiplantae; Streptophyta; Magnoliopsida; Malpighiales; Euphorbiaceae.